AGUGAACGCUGGCGGUAGGCCUAACACAUGCAAGUCGAACGGCAGCACAGUAAGAGCUUGCUCUUACGGGUGGCGAGUGGCGGACGGGUGAGGAAUACAUCGGAAUCUACUUUUUCGUGGGGGAUGACGUAGGGAAACUUACGCUAAUACCGCAUACGACCUACGGGUGAAAGCAGGGGAUCUUCGGACCUUGCGCGAUUGAAUGAGCCGAUGUCGGAUUAGCUAGUUGGCGGGGUAAAGGCCCACCAAGGCGACGAUCCGUAGCUGGUCUGAGAGGAUGAUCACCCAGCCGGGAACUGAGACACGGUACAGACUCCUACAAGAGGCAGCAGUGGAGAAUAUUGGACAAUGGGCGAAAGGCUGAUCCAGCCAUACCGCGUGAGUGAAGAAGGCCUUCGGGUUGUAAAGCCCUUUUGUUGGGAAAGAAAAGCAGCAGGUUAAUACCCCGCUGUUCUGACGGUACCCAAAGAAUAAGCACCGGCUAACUUCGUG
This 492-nucleotide ribosomal RNA is filed under the name uncultured bacterium. Its description in RNAcentral is "partial 16S ribosomal RNA". It matches the Rfam family "Bacterial small subunit ribosomal RNA", at positions 29 to 507 of the family's 1533-position model. The record is from RNAcentral.